UACGUAGGGUGCGAGCGUUGUCCGGAAUUACUGGGCGUAAAGGGCUCGUAGGCGGCCGGCUAAGUCCGACGUGAAAUCCCCAGGCUUAACCUGGGAACUGCGUCGGAUACUGGCGGGCUUGAAUCCGGGAGAGAGAUGCGGAAUUCCAGGUGUAGCGGUGAAAUGCGUAGAUAUCUGGAGGAACACCGGUGGCGAAGGCGGCUUCCUGGACCGACACUGACGCUGAGGCGCGAAAGCUAGGGGAGCAAACGGG
This 253-nucleotide ribosomal RNA is filed under the name uncultured bacterium. RNAcentral's name for it is "partial 16S ribosomal RNA". It matches the Rfam family "Bacterial small subunit ribosomal RNA", at positions 524 to 776 of the family's 1533-position model. The record is from RNAcentral.